AUUGAACGCUGGCGGCAGGCUUAACACAUGCAAGUCGAGCGGGGGAAGGUAGCUUGCUACCGGACCUAGCGGCGGACGGGUGAGUAAUGCUUAGGAAUCUGCCUAUUAGUGGGGGACAACAUCUCGAAAGGGAUGCUAAUACCGCAUACGUCCCACGGGAGAAAGCAGGGGAUCUUCGGACCUUGCGCUAAUAGAUGAGACUAAGUCGGAUUAGCUAGUUGGUGGGGUAAAGGCCUACCAAGGCGACGAUCUGUAGCGGGUCUGAGAGGAUGAUCCGCCACACUGGGACUGAGACACGGCCCAGACUCCUACGGGAGGCAGCAGUGGGGAAUAUUGGACAAUGGGGGGAACCCUGAUCCAGCCAUGCCGCGUGUGUGAAGAAGGCCUUAUGGUUGUAAAGCACUUUAAGCGAGGAGGAGGCUACUUUAGUUAAUACCUAGAGAUAGUGGACGUUACUCGCAGAAUGAGCACCGGCUAACUCUGUGCCAGCAGCCGCGGUAA
This 501-nucleotide ribosomal RNA is filed under the name uncultured bacterium. Its description in RNAcentral is "partial 16S ribosomal RNA". It matches the Rfam family "Bacterial small subunit ribosomal RNA", at positions 30 to 523 of the family's 1533-position model. The record is from RNAcentral.